Molecule: ribosomal RNA, 34 nt
Filed under: Longidorus juglandicola
Lineage: Eukaryota; Metazoa; Nematoda; Enoplea; Dorylaimida; Longidoridae
Description: partial 5.8S ribosomal RNA
Source: RNAcentral
CCAUUCUAAGCGGUGGAUCACUCGGCUCGUAAGG